UGGGAACAGAUCAGAAGCGCUGCAACGCACGAACGCUGACCUGCACACGAACUGGUUUGGUUUCGGCCUUCUCCAGGAGACACCACUGCUGCUCGCAAAGUGGUCACCGACGCUCUUUUUUCUUCGCGCUCAUGUCGGCGAGGGCACCUACGUCGUUGUGGUUAGGGGACCACAACGACAAGGCUGCAGUGGCUGCUGCGGAGCAGUCCACAAAGAAGCGCCGCCGUCUUCGCCACCACCGAUGCAAGGCCGCACGGGAAGCUGCCUCAAAAACUGCCGAUGGACCGUACGACGAGCUUGCUGAGACGGUGGAGAAUAACGAUGAAGUGAAGUCAGUAGAGGAGACGCCGGAGGCGGCGUCUAACGUGGCGUCCACGAAACGUUCGGAGAAGCGACGGCGUGAGGACGACAGCGACGACGACGAAGAGGCGGACGCAGAUGCGACGGCAUCGAGCGCGCGUCCGUGUAACCCCCAAAAGCGCGGCGCGGCGGAGGAAGGGAAGACGUCAUCCCCCUCCGCCUCCGCGUCCCCUGCUGCGUCGUCGUCGCCGAACGGCCCCACAGCGGUAAGCAUGACGCAGCGCAGCAAGGAGCUGGCCAAGUCCAUCCCUGCCGUCACGGACUACAAGUCACUGCAGUUGAACCCCCACAUAGUGUCUGCUCUGGAGCAGGAGUUCAAGUUCAAGGAGCUGACGCCGAUCCAGUCUCGCUGCAUUCCUGCUGCGCUGCAGGGACGCGAUCUCCUCGCCGAGGCGAAGACCGGCGCCGGUAAGACGCUGGCGUUUUUGAUUCCAAUUGUCGAGAUCGUCUGCCGCUCUGGCUUCCGCCCCAGCAACGGCACGGCAGCCAUCAUCAUCGGGCCCACCCGUGAGCUCUGCUUGCAGAUCGAGGGUGUGCUGCUGAAGCUGCUGAAGCACUUCAACGGCUCCUUGACGUUCUUGUGCUGCAUUGGUGGCCAGAGCCGCAACCAAGAGGGCUUCAAGCUCGCCAACGGCGUCAUGAUCGUGGUCGCCUCCCCUGGCCGCCUGCUAGACCAUUUGAAGUUGACGACGGACUGGCACACAAAGAACCUACUGCUGCUCGCCGUUGACGAGGCAGAUCGCGUGCUCGACAACGGCUUUGAGGAGGACAUGCGCGAGAUCGUGGCCCUGCUGCCCAAGAACCGCCAGACGUUCUUGUUUUCUGCCACGCAGACGACGCGUGUCGAGCAGCUCGCGCGCAUCUCGUUUCACAAGACGCCGAUCUUCAUCUCCAUGAAGAGCAAGAAGGACAAGGCCACCGUGGACACGUUGGAGCAGGGCUACGUCGUGUGCGCCAGCGAGCAGCGUCUGCUCGUGCUCUACCACUUUGUGAAAAAGAACCUGAAGAAGAAGGUCAUCGUCUUCUUCAGCAGCCGCAACAGCGUCAGCUUCCACUGCGAGCUCUUCAACUACAUCGACGUUCCCUGCAUCGCCUUCCACGGCAAGCAAAAGCAGCACCAGCGCUCCGCGACGUACAUGCAGUUUUGCAACGCACCGAGUGGCGUGCUCUUCACGACCGAUGUCGCGGCACGCGGUCUCGACAUUCCCGAGGUGGACUGGAUUGUGCAAUUCGACCCCCCGGAUGAUCCGGUGAAGUACGUCCACCGUGUCGGGCGAACCGCGCGCGCUGGGCGCUGUGGUAACGCGCUCAUGUUUCUGCUUCCGCAGGAGGAACUGUUCCUCAAGUACCUCUACGAUGAUGCCAAGGUGAAGGUGAACGAGUACACCUUUGAUUUGACAAGGCUAAAAGGGAACGUGCAGGGGCAGCUGGAGCAGCUGGUGAGCUCCAACUACUACCUGCGCACUUCGGCGCGGCAGGCAUACGAGGGCUACUUGCUGAGCUACAGUAGCUGCCAGCUGAAAAACGUGUUCAACAUCCAAAACCUCGACCUCGCUGCGGUGGCGCGCGGGUUUGCACUGAGUGAGCCGCCGCCGAUCAAGAUGGACCUCUCCCAGUCUGCUGCACACAUGAACAAGAAGUCGCGACACGAGUUUAGCGCCAUGCGCCACACCAAGGACGCUAAGCGACGCGACGUGAACGCGAAGUCGAUGAACAAGCGGCAUCAGAACAUCAGUGGGGAGUGGUGAGCUGGGUGGGAGGGGGUUGAUGGUGGUGAGGGCGGCAGCGCGUACUCUCUCUCUUGCGCUCUCAUUGGGUGAUAUUUCUUUUGUCGGGUGCUCUUUGGGCCUUUGCACACACACACACACACACGGUGCGACGACCUCCCAGUGUGGUUGCUCUGUACGCGACCUUUUCCUCCUCUUGCAGCCGCAUCCAGGGUGCACCCGCGACAUCGCACGCGAGGAGACGACGCUCGCGAGAGAGGGAGAGCGAGGAUUAGUACAGAAGAACCGAGCAUUUGCUUUGAACACGUUUAACACGCGCACACAAAACUGCAUCGUCGCACGCACGCGCGCGAGUGAGGCGCUCAUGAAGGUGCACUACACGACUAAAGAGGAAAAGAGAGUCGUGAAACAGGGAGAGGAGGAAAAUGAGACUUCUUCUACUGCGCAGCUGCAGCAUUGUUGUCGGCUUGCGCGCAGGGCGAGGUGAGGGGGAAAGGCUCAUCCACCAUACUUCUCCCGGUCCCCAUCCGAUGUUGAUGCGCGUUUCUGUCGGCUCGUUCUUCUCCCCUCGUCUGCCCUCGCUUUCUUCGUCAAGCGCUAGCAGGCCCACGAAGAGUCGUGAGCACAUGCUCUGACAUGGAAUAG
Molecule: unclassified non-coding RNA, 2732 nt
Filed under: Leishmania donovani
Lineage: Eukaryota; Euglenozoa; Kinetoplastea; Trypanosomatida; Trypanosomatidae
Description: gene:LdHU3.36.2510(CDS-product:DEAD_box_RNA_helic ase_putative)
Source: RNAcentral